RNAcentral lists this ribosomal RNA (253 nucleotides) under uncultured bacterium. Its description in RNAcentral is "partial 16S ribosomal RNA". It matches the Rfam family "Bacterial small subunit ribosomal RNA", at positions 524 to 776 of the family's 1533-position model. The record is from RNAcentral.
UACGGAGGGAGCUAGCGUUGUUCGGAAAUACUGGGCGUAAAGCGCACGUAGGCGGCGCAGCAAGUCAGGGGUGAAAUCCCGGGGCUCAACCCCGGAACUGCCCUUGAAACUGCAGUGCUAGAAUUCUGGAGAGGCGAGUGGAAUUCCGAGUGUAGAGGUGAAAUGCGCAGAUAUCAGGAAGAACACCCGUGGCGAAAGCGGCUCUCUGGAACGGUACUGACGCUGAGACGCGAAAGCGUGGGGAGCGAACAGG